UUGGUGGUUCCAGGAUCGCAGAAAGAUCGCAAUGCCUCGAUCGCCCAGGUGGGGAACUUAAACAUGCAAGCUUUGAGCUCUGGGAAUGUGGCCGGAACGUUUGGAUGCUGGGUCUGGUACUCGACGUGGUUGAAGAGUUUUGCCGGAUCAUCGACUUUGCGGAGAGUUUUGGCAUCCAUGAGCGAGUGAUCAAAGCAUGGUGCUAGAAACUCCUCUCCUUCUCCUCGCGAGACGAGCGACCAGGCCGUCAAGAAGGAGCUGGCCGAGAAUCCAUCGCCCACAUUGUGAUGGACUCCAAGAACGAGACUGGAUCCUCCACACUGGAAGCGAGUGACUUGGGCAGUGACCAAUGGCGCCUCCGUGAUGUCUCCAGAAGUCUUGUAGAUCCCGGUCGGGCUGAGAAGCUCAAACCUUGGAUCGUGCUGCUCGAAGCCGCCGAAAUCGUCGAGCUCUCCAUCCACGAAAGCCUCGAAGAAGUCGCUCCCUUGGUCGGAGCACUCGAGCUGGAGGGCAUUGUUGGGAAGAACAGCGUAGCGGCCGGCUAGAGGAUAGAAGGUGGCCAACGUGGUGGAGAGUGACGCCUUGAGAUUGUCGGUGGAAAGCUCUCUGGUGGUAGUGGGAAAGAAAAGAAGGAAUUGCGUGUAGUACCUUGGGACGAUUUGAUCGAUGUUGGAGAGGAGGUGGAUUCCUCCUGGAGAUGGGGCUGGGAGCUUGAUCGCAUAUCUAGUCCUUGAAGUGAUCUUCAUUUGGAAACUUGGGUCUCUUGGUCACAAUGCAGGAGAGAUUUAUAAGAUUGCUUGACUUUUCUUGCAAGGGAAGUAAAGGACCGCAGUGAAAUUGUGACCCUGGACACUGUGCCGCAGAUGUCGACAUUCUAGAUUGUCAUCUUCCAGCUAGAUUGUCAACUUCCCGAAGUUCUGGAAGAAAUCAGAUUCCAUUUGGAUAAGCUUGAUUGUUUUGGUAUUUAAAAAAUGUUAAAGGAGUUCUGCUCUUCUUUCCCAUUCUCGCUUUUACGGGCUAUGGUGUAACAUCACUCUCUCGCUCUUUGAUCUCUCGUGUAGCAUAGUGCGAUUUAGCGAUGGGAAUUUCGGCUUCCAAAGUUUUGAUCGUCAACCAAACUGACAAAAUUUUGUUUCUCCGUGACAAUGAUUAUGGCAUGGUGUUUUGCACACUCAGGGGCAUUAUACAGCCCAUGAGCUCACAGUCUGUAAGUUUAAAGGUGAAAAGCGAUCGCCCAAGAACCAGGACUGCCAUACUUUUUAAAGCUUCUGGGAUCAAAGGGGAAAGUCCUACUGGACUUCAUAUUAUAAUGGAACCUCACGUGCAAGCAGCUAGAUCUUAUAUCGUCCUGGAAGAUGAAACUGAGCGGUUCAUUCUCAUAGAAGAGGGCUAGCAUAACACGAUUUAAAUUAAAUUGCUCAUCACACAAAUCGUUCGCAAAAGUGAGAAGUUUCUUCUGCUGGUUCUCUGUAAAGGAAAGGCUAUAUCAGUAUUGUAAAUAAUUUAUCGGAAGAGAGUAAGCACCUCAAAUUUGUGAUGCUUUCAAUCCAACAUAUUGUAAAAUUUGUAAGUACGAUUGAUGCUUUUAAUCAUCUACACAUGAGAUCUCGCGCUCCACUGUCUGGAACACCCCCAGAAGACUUUUAUCGCGUCGUUGUGUGUGAGGAGCCAUAUGGAGAUUAAGGACACCCAAACCCCAAACGCGGCAAGAGCACAAUUCAAAACGAAGUACUGAAAUUCUGCCCAUUCUUCCCUGGUGGGACUUCUUGGUAUCCUGUUCAUGUAGUUCUGCAAGAGGAACUCGAGAGCAAUUUUUGAAAUGGAUCUGUUUGGAGGGUUGCAAUAGAAUAUGUUCUUUCUCGAUCUCCUUGGGUUUCUCUUCAUGUCCUCCACUAAAGCUUGGUAACAGUGGACAAUGUACUCUCGUUUUUUCAACUUUCUCAUCAUCUUGAUGCAGUAAUUCUGCUUCAAGAUCAGUGAUGCCAAAGCUGCGGCUGAGGUGGUGAGCGACACGGACGAUGGAAUCCACCAUUUUGUGCUGGAAUUCGUCAUGGAGGCGAGGUGAGCGACCAUGUUAAGAACCAUACCGACAAACACGAAGUACAUGCCCAACACUUGGUAGAUCUGAUUUAUAGCACUGUCCAGCCUUUUCUGCACCAGCUUUUGCUGCUUCUCCCAGUGUCUAAUCCCUUCCCUGUAUUCCUUGAAGAUAUUUCUUCUGAUUUUCAUUGGCGCUGGUGCUUCUGCCAUCUUGUGAAAUUUUUCUGAAUUCUGGAAUGCAUAUGGAUCACACGUUGCACGAAUCUUCUUCGAAACCCGUCUGUCAUCCGACAAAAUAGAAGUCCAAAAGCUACAAUUUUUAGUAAUGUCAACGUAACUAUUACAAUAUUUAAACUUGACAGUUUCAACACUAAGAAAAGAUCAAAGAAUUUCGUUCAACUUGCAUAAUCCAGGAAAUCCAAACUUUAAGGCGCUGGACUUGGUGUUGGCAUUGGAAAUAUGGCGAGAAUAUACUUUUAACACAUGAAUCUUUUGGGGACUGCAGACACAAAUAUUCCAAAGCCAAUGAGGACACCAUCUGUAAUGUAGUACUGGAACACUGCCCGCUCUGAAUGUGUUGGACGUUUUGGCAUUUGCAUCGAGGGGAGAAGAAACUCUUGAAGAAUAGUGAGCAUGCACCUGUUUGGAGGAUUGUCAUAGCAAAUGCUUGUCCUUGGCCUUCUUGGACCUAUAUUCCUCUUCAGGUCCUCCAACUCGGCCUCAUAGUGAUUGAUGAUGUACUGCCGCUUUUUCAGCUUUCUCAUCAGCUUAAUGCAAUCGUUUUGCUUCACAGCCAGAGACACCAAUGUCACCGCAGAGGUGAUUAGUGAGACAACCAUUGGAAUCCACCAGUUUCGGCAUGAAUUCUUGGACGAGAGCUGUGCCACAAUGUUGAGGACCACACCCUCAAAAACAAAGUACAUGCCCAGAACCUGGUAAAUCUCACCGCUCCUCUUGUCCAGCCUCUUUUGCACCAGCCUCAGCUGCUUCUCCCAAUGGCAAAUGUCAUCCUUGCACUCUUCAAUCCUGGAAUCCAUGGCUGCGCUGGUCGCCAAAUGGGUAUCCCGUCACUGCUUUGUUCAUCCAUGUCGUAUCGUGGCUAUUUCUCGAUCACUCCUGGAUCGAAAAUUAAAGAAAAGUUGAACAUUCUCAAGUUUGGCCGCGUCAAUCGAAAAUCCGUGUACAGCAAAUGCCCGCUGACUGUCUCCCCUCGAUCGAUCAUGUAUGAUAUAACAGCCCGGGAAUCUCAACUUCUCUCCCAAGGUGAUAUGAUUAUUCCUAUUGGGGAUUUCCCUAUACCUAUGACGAUCUCAUGUGACCUUGCUAAUAUAUUGUCAAGUAUAAAUAUUGAUUUUAAAUUUAGCCACUACAUUUAAAUAUUAAAGUGUUUCAUCUAGCAUGAUUUCACCUUUCUUUCUAUUUUAAUUUUAAUCAUAGGGAAAAAUAGGUAACCUCAUUAAUUUUAGUUUGAACCGUUAUGUACAAAACUCUGGAUCCGCAAGCAAAUUCCUCAUAUGCUCGGCAUACAAACCAAUGAGGACAACUAUCGUUUGAUCGUCCAGCCACGGCAGAAAUAUCACAAGCCCUGUGAAAGCAGCCACCGGCAAUCCAACAAAGACCUGCUUGCCACCACCAAAAUCCACAGGAAACCUCGACCAGCUCGUCAAUGCCAAGUCGGUUCUAGCAUCGCAAAAACUGGGGAAGACUCCCAGAGGACUUGGCUGCUGCUCGAGCCAGUGAAGCGCCGAUCGCAUGUACUCGUCGGUGAUGCGGUGCGUGGCUUAGAAGAUCACGUUUCCAAAGUAUUUCUCUGGAAGAGGUGGGGUGAAUCGAGUUCGUCCAUCCACAGCCAUCCCCAGCUUGGUUUCUUCGUGCGGCUCGAGAUUCCUAGCCUUGGUGACGGACUUCCAGACGUGAGCAGAGCUUCGAACUUGAUGGUUCCAGGUCCGCAGAAAGAUCGCAAUGUCUCGAUCGCCCAGGUGGGGAACUUAAACAUGCAAGCUUUGAGCUCUGGGAAUGUGGCCGGAACGUUUGGACGCUGGGUCUGGUACUCGACGUGGUUGAAGAGUUUUGCCGGAUCAUCGACUUUGCGGAGAGUUUUGGCAUCCAUGAGCGAGUGAUCAAAGCAUGGUGCUAGAAACUCCUCUCCUUCUCCUCGCGAGACGAGCGACCAGGCCGUCAAGAAGGAGCUGGCCGAGAAUUCAUCGCCCACAUUGUGAUGGACUCCAAGAACGAGACUGGAUCCUCCACACUGGAAGCGAGUGACUUGGGCAGUGACCAAUGGCACCUCCGUGACGUCUCCAGAAGUCUUAUAGAUCCCGGUCGGGCUGAGAAGCUCAAACCUUGGAUCGUGCUGCUCGAAGCCGCCGAAAUCG
Molecule: long non-coding RNA, 4415 nt
Filed under: Selaginella moellendorffii
Lineage: Eukaryota; Viridiplantae; Streptophyta; Lycopodiopsida; Selaginellales; Selaginellaceae
Description: long non-coding RNA (SMOE_LNC000889)
Source: RNAcentral